This 433-nucleotide ribosomal RNA is filed under the name uncultured bacterium. RNAcentral describes it as "partial 16S ribosomal RNA". It matches the Rfam family "Bacterial small subunit ribosomal RNA", at positions 29 to 507 of the family's 1533-position model. The record is from RNAcentral.
AAUGAACGCUGGCGGCAUGCCUAACACAUGCAAGUCGAUCGAGCCCUUCGGGUCUAUUCUCGCCCGGCUUCGUCACGCGUGGGAACCUUCCCUUAUGUUCGGACUAACUCUCCGACUGGGGUGCUAACACCGGAUCAUAUCUUCUGCCCAAAGAUUUAUCGACUUUGGAUGGUCCCGCGUUGGAUUAGCUAGUUGGUAGGGUAAAAGCCUACUAAGGCGACGAUCCAUAGCUUGUAUGAGAGGAUGAUCAGCCACACUGGAAGUGAGACACGGCCAGGACUCCUACGGGAGGCAGGAGUGGGGGAUAUUGGAAAAUGGGGGGAGGGCUGAACGAGCAAUGCCGCGUGAGUGAUGAAGGCAGUAGGGAUGAAAAGCUCUACUAACCGGGAUGAUAAUGACGGUACCGGGAGAAUAAGCUACGGCUAACUACGUG